UUUUUGAUGGACAAACUGAUAAUUGCAUAGAAAUGAUUUGAGCUAAGGCUAGAAUAUAGAUUACAAAUAUUCAAAAGAAUAAGCAAAAACACUUGUGACAUUCGACUAUCCAUUACAUCAAACUGAUCGACACUCCAAACAAGCCUUUAAAAGUUUAAAUAACACCAACAAAGCAAACACCAAAAUAAAAGCUAAACAUUUAAUUACACUUCUUUUCUAUUAAUUUACACUUGCCUAGUCACUAGUUUUGCCAUUUUGGUGAAAUUGCAUGAAAGUCUAUACGAUGAUCCUCGACAAGUCAAUGAAUUGGGUUAGUCGUUAGGGAAAAUUUGUAGCAAUAGAUUCGUAGCAACAAUAAUCUAAAGUGAAGACUAGUCGACCCAAAAUAGAACGUAACUUUUUUAGGAAACGACAUUGUACGUUGUGAUUAACUUAAUAACAGCAACAACAUAACGUCAAAGAAAAAUUGCAUAAUGAAUGAAUCUGAUGUAUGAGUUACUAUGAGGCAUGUCAAAUUUCCCACAGAGGAUCAUGGCCGGCCGUCGGCGGAGGCUGUGGGGGACUUGAUCUCUGCCUAAGAAGCUUGCUCGUUCGGAGCAGCACCACUAGCCGUCGACAGAGGAGAUCGUGGUCUUCGGACUGAGAGAGAGAAGAACAGCUAAGGUAUGAAAAAGAAUGAGUUGGGUAUUAUCCCUCAAUUGAUUCUUAAAUACAUCUUAAGGAGUACUAGAGUUAACGGCAUGUACUUAAAUUGGGUUGGGUUCAAUAAUCCAUGAACUCAUAUGAUAAUUUCGGAAGUUAAGUAAUCAAAAUUCUAAGAGGCGAAUAUUCAUGUAUUGUUUUUUAAAUUUUACAUUCCUGAUAAUCUAAUAGCUAGGAAUCUUAUAUAUGCGAAUAUGACAUACGCCAAUUGGUAUAUCAUAUCAAGUACAUUAUUAGAAUUUAGAAGUAUGCAUCUAACAUUUGUGGUGAGAUAUAUAGUAAAAUGAGAAAAUUACAUGACCAAAUUUAUAAACAUAAAAAACCUAUUUUCAAUAUUUUUUGUACAAAUUAGGACAUGAGUGUAGGCCCAAAAUUAGUGGUACCAAAUCUGAUCCAAACUUUCAUAAGCAAAUGACCAAUAUACCCACCGUGUUAUCUUCUUUCUUCACCACCCAUAUCGAUUUGAUUCUCUCUCUCUCUCUCUCUCUCUCUCUCUCUCUCUCUCUCUCUCUCUCUCUCUCUCUCUCUCUCUCUCUCUCUCUCUCUCUCUCUCUCUCUCUCUACUCAGUACACACCAUCAUCGCCACCCCUCCUCCUCCACUGCCUCACCGCCGCCGCCGCAACAAUUGACUGUUCCCCUCAUCCGCGCCACACCAUCGCCGUCCUCUUCUUUCGUCAACGCCACGUCAGAAUCAACAGUAGCAGAAUCGCGUCUUCCUCUUAUCUAAGCUUGAUCGCAUCACCUCUGUCCUCCGACGCUCAUCGAAGAGGCUCGCCGCAUGAUGACGCUCGACAACUACAACGCCCGGAUCGUAUCACUUCAGUCCUCCGAUGUCGGAUCUCAUACAACAUCAAGCUCUUAGAUCUGGUUAUGCAAACUGAUGUGAUCUGGUCAUCAUAUUCAUAUCCUAGCACCUUGUCAUGAUUUGGUUUGAAUUUGAAGCAUUGCAUAUGUUGGAGCAAACCUUGGUGCAUGGAUUUGAUCUUCAAUUUAUAUGAGAUGUUCAUGGAUUUGAUCUUCAGUUGGUAUGAGAUGCAUGGUGUCACCGUCUCUCAUUUGUCUCACUCAGUAGUAGUGAUAUAAAUGAGGUUGAAUGGUUUGGGUUUUGGUUGAUUAGUAGGUGAUGUCAUAUAUGAAUGAGGUUUGUUGUGAGAACAUGAAUGAGAUCUGUUUAUCUGAAUGAGGUUUGCCUAUCGGGAUAAACCAUUGCUUGUUGUGGUAGAUGCAGUUUUAAAGUUCAUUAGCAGUGAUACAUACAGUAGUAGCAGCGCUAUCAUCAGAGUGAGCAGUAACAGCGCUAGCAUCAAAGUUGGUAGUAGCAGUGCGCUAGCAUUAGAGUCGACAAUAGCAGCACGACAGUAGCAGCUUUGUUUGAUUCCGGAGAAUUGCCUAAAAAAAUUGUAAUAACUACUUUUUAUCGGGUGCUACUGUGCUACUUGGCAGUAGCACCUAAUGUGCUAUGUGCUACUCGGCAGUGUGCUACUGUGCUAUUGUGCUACUUGGCAGUAACACCCAAUGUGCUAUGUGCUACUGUGUUACUCGGUAGUGUGCUACUAUGCUACAAGUCGACAGUAGCAAUUGAUAUGUACUGAAAGGUAUUUUAGUAAAAUUGUAGUGACAGAUGACAUGUUGAUAUUAGUUUGUCCUAAUUUGUUAAUAUUUGUCGUUAAAUGUGUAAGAUAUUGUGUAAAAGAUGUAUUUGUAAACUGAAAUUUGAUUAGUAACUUUAUAGUAAUUUACUAUAGUAAAAUUGAUAUCAUAUCAUAUCUAAAUUAUUAGGGGUAUGCAUCUAGAUUCUCUUUCACUCUUUGUGGUGAGAUUAAAUAAGUAUAAAAUUAUCUUCUGAGGAAUCAAAUUGUAAGAAAUUAAAAUUUGCGCCUAGCCUUUAACACUUGAUAGGAAUAAUGAGUAUAUAUGAGAAUAUGAUCAACCUAUAAUGCUG
This 2645-nucleotide long non-coding RNA is filed under the name Fragaria vesca (wild strawberry). RNAcentral describes it as "long non-coding RNA (FVES_LNC000263)". The record is from RNAcentral. Lineage: Eukaryota; Viridiplantae; Streptophyta; Magnoliopsida; Rosales; Rosaceae.